RNAcentral lists this unclassified non-coding RNA (333 nucleotides) under soil metagenome. RNAcentral's name for it is "partial contains 5.8S ribosomal RNA, internal transcribed spacer 2, and large subunit ribosomal RNA". The stretch from base 1 to 120 matches the Rfam family "5.8S ribosomal RNA", at positions 35 to 154 of the family's 154-position model. The record is from RNAcentral.
GAUGAAGAACGCAGUGAAAUGCGAUAAGUAAUGUGAAUUGCAGAAUUCAGUGAAUCAUCGAAUCUUUGAACGCACAUUGCGCCCGCCAGUAUUCUGGCGGGCAUGCCUGUUCGAGCGUCAUUUCAACCAUCAAGCCCCCGGCUUGUGUUGGGGACCUGCGGCUGCCGCAGGCCCUGAAAACCAGUGGCGGGCUCGCUAGUCACUCCGAGCGUAGUAAUACAUCUCGCUCAGGGCGUGCUGCGGGUUCCGGCCGUUAAAAAGCCUUAUUUACCCAAGGUUGACCUCGGAUCAGGUAGGAAGACCCGCUGAACUUAAGCAUAUAAUAAGCGGAGA